UGCAAGUCGUGCGAGAAAGUAUCUUCGGAUAUGAGUAGAGCGGCGGACGGGUGAGUAACGCGUAGGAAUCUACCUAGUAGAAGGGGAUAGCCCGGGGAAACCCGGAUUAAUACCGUAUACCUCCUUCGGGAGAAAGAAGGCCUCUCUUUGAAGCUUUCGCUACUAGAUGAGCCUGCGUAAGAUUAGCUUGUUGGUGAGGUAAAGGCUCACCAAGGCGACGAUCUUUAGCUGGUCUGAGAGGACGAUCAGCCACAUUGGGACUGAGACACGGCCCAGACUCCUACGGGAGGCAGCAGUGGGGAAUAUUGGACAAUGGGCGCAAGCCUGAUCCAGCCAUACCGCGUGUGUGAAGAAGGCCUUCGGGUUGUAAAGCACUUUAAGCAGGGAGAAAAAGUUAUAAGUUAAUACCUUAUAACCCUGAUGUUACCUGCAGAAUGAGCACCGGCUAAUUCCGUGCCAGCAGCCGCGGUAAUACGGAAGGUGCAAGCGUUAAUCGGAAUUACUGGGCGUAAAGCGCGCGUAGGUGGUUUGUUAAGUUGGAUGUGAAAGCCCUGGGCUCAACCUAGGAACUGCAUCCAAAACUAACUCACUAGAGUACGAUAGAGGGAGGUAGAAUUCAUAGUGUAGCGGUGGAAUGCGUAGAUAUUAUGAAGAAUACCAGUGGCGAAGGCGGCCUCCUGGAUCUGUACUGACACUGAGGUGCGAAAGCGUGGGUAGCGAACAGGAUUAGAUACCCUGGUAGUCCACGCCGUAAACGAUGACAACUAGCUGUUGGGAGACUAUGUCUUUCAGUGGCGCAGCUAACGCUUUAAGUUGUCCGCCUGGGGAGUACGGCCGCAAGGCUAAAACUCAAAUGAAUUGACGGGACCCGCACAAGCGGUGAGCAUGUGGUUUAAUUCGAUGCAC
Molecule: ribosomal RNA, 906 nt
Filed under: uncultured marine bacterium
Lineage: Bacteria
Description: bacterial SSU rRNA
Rfam family: Bacterial small subunit ribosomal RNA
Source: RNAcentral